CCCUUAGACGUUCUGGGCCGCACGCGCGCUACACUGACCAGUGCAACAAGCAUCCGUCCUUGGCCGACAGGCUCGGGCAAUCUUUGAACGCUGGUCGUGAUGGGGAUAGACUUUUGCAAUUUUUGGUCUUCAACGAGGAAUUCCUUGUAAACGCAAGUCAUCAACUUGCAUUGAUUACGUCCCUGCCCUUUGUACACACCGCCCGUCGCUCCUACCGAUUUCGAGUGGUUCGGUGAACCUUUCGGACCGGCAAUGCCUCGUGUUGCGCCGGAAAGUCAAGUAAACCAUAUCACUUAGAGGAAGGAGAANUCGUANCA
Molecule: ribosomal RNA, 317 nt
Filed under: uncultured eukaryote
Lineage: Eukaryota
Description: partial 18S ribosomal RNA
Rfam family: Eukaryotic small subunit ribosomal RNA
Source: RNAcentral